RNAcentral lists this ribosomal RNA (527 nucleotides) under Cladosporium sp. TA26-6. Its description in RNAcentral is "eukaryotic LSU rRNA". The stretch from base 163 to 316 matches the Rfam family "5.8S ribosomal RNA". Lineage: Eukaryota; Fungi; Ascomycota; Dothideomycetes; Cladosporiales; Cladosporiaceae. The record is from RNAcentral.
GGGGGCUUCGGUGACCCGCGUCUACCACCGGGAUGUUCAUAACCCUUUGUUGUCCGACUCUGUUGCCUCCGGGGCGACCCUGCCUUCGGGCGGGGGCUCCGGGUGGACACUUCAAACUCUUGCGUAACUUUGCAGUCUGAGUAAAUUUAAUUAAUAAAUUAAAACUUUUAACAACGGAUCUCUUGGUUCUGGCAUCGAUGAAGAACGCAGCGAAAUGCGAUAAGUAAUGUGAAUUGCAGAAUUCAGUGAAUCAUCGAAUCUUUGAACGCACAUUGCGCCCCCUGGUAUUCCGGGGGGCAUGCCUGUUCGAGCGUCAUUUCACCACUCAAGCCUCGCUUGGUAUUGGGCAACGCGGUCCGCCGCGUGCCUCAAAUCGACCGGCUGGGUCUUCUGUCCCCUAAGCGUUGUGGAAACUAUUCGCUAAAGGGUGCUCGGGAGGCUACGCCGUAAAACAAACCCAUUUCUAAGGUUGACCUCGGAUCAGGUAGGGAUACCCGCUGAACUUAAGCAUAUCAAUAAGCGGAGGA